UGGGGAAUAUUGCACAAUGGGCGAAAGCCUGAUGCAGCAACGCCGCGUGAGUGAUGAAGGUCUUCGGAUUGUAAAGCUCUGUCUUUUGGGACGAUAAUGACGGUACCAAAGGAGGAAGCCACGGCUAACUACGUGCCAGCAGCCGCGGUAAUACGUAGGUGGCGAGCGUUGUCCGGAUUUACUGGGCGUAAAGGGUGCGUAGGCGGAUGUUUAAGUGAGAUGUGAAAUACCCGGGCUUAACUUGGGUGCUGCAUUUCAAACUGGAUAUCUAGAGUGCAGGAGAGGAGAAUGGAAUUCCUAGUGUAGCGGUGAAAUGCGUAGAGAUUAGGAAGAACACCAGUGGCGAAGGCGAUUCUCUGGACUGUAACUGACGCUGAGGCACGAAAGCGUGGGUAGCAAACAGGAUUAGAUACCCUGGUAGUCCACGCCGUAAACGAUGAGUACUAGGUGUAGGAGGUAUCGACCCCUUCUGUGCCGCAGUAAAAC
RNAcentral lists this ribosomal RNA (486 nucleotides) under uncultured bacterium. RNAcentral describes it as "partial 16S ribosomal RNA". It matches the Rfam family "Bacterial small subunit ribosomal RNA", at positions 355 to 858 of the family's 1533-position model. The record is from RNAcentral.